RNAcentral lists this ribosomal RNA (836 nucleotides) under Phomopsis sp. 8 MSB-2011. RNAcentral describes it as "eukaryotic LSU rRNA". The stretch from base 494 to 647 matches the Rfam family "5.8S ribosomal RNA". Lineage: Eukaryota; Fungi; Ascomycota; Sordariomycetes; Diaporthales; Diaporthaceae. The record is from RNAcentral.
UGUACUGUUGUCGUUGGUUGGGGUGUCGUGUGUGAUAGUGUUUNUGGUGNUCAGUAUGGGUUUUUUAGUAUGUGCGUGUUGUGCCGUGUANAUCAUGGUGGUUGUUAACUUGUCCGGCCGGGCGGGCUCUGGCGUCGCUCCGUGGUAUCCUGGGUGGGUGCUNCUCUGGGUGUGGCUCCCUGUGCCCCGUUUAGCGCNGGUGAGUGGUCCGCAUCUAGUGUUANNUUGGUUCNCCCCCGNCGGUUUNCCCGACCCCAAUGGGUUUUCGGCGCCUUCCCCAUACCCUUUUCGUUGUGAACCUGCGAAGGGAUCAUUGCUGGAACUGCGCCUCGGCGCACCCAGAAACCCUUUGUGAACUUAUACCUAUUUGUUGCCUCGGCGUAAGGCUGGGCCCCCCGGGGCCCCCCCAGUCUCUGGGGAGCAGGCCCGCCGGCGGCCAAGUAAACUCUUGUUUUUACCUGGAACUCUGAGUAAAAAAACAUAAAUGAAUCAAAACUUUCAACAACGGAUCUCUUGGUUCUGGCAUCGAUGAAGAACGCAGCGAAAUGCGAUAAGUAAUGUGAAUUGCAGAAUUCAGUGAAUCAUCGAAUCUUUGAACGCACAUUGCGCCCUCUGGUAUUCCGGAGGGCAUGCCUGUUCGAGCGUCAUUUCAACCCUCAAGCCUGGCUUGGUGAUGGGGCACUGCUUUGGAGACAGAGCAGGCCCUGAAAUACAGUGGCGAGCUCGCCAGUACCCCGAGCGCAGUAGUUAAACCCUCGUUUCUGGAAGGUGCUGGCGGUGCCUGCCGUUAAACCCCCAACUUCUGAAAAUUGACCUCGAUCAGUAGAACCCGCUGA